GCAUCAUCGACCGAUCCUGAUGUUCUCGGAUGGAUUUGAGUAAGAGCAUACGGGGCCGGACCCGAAAGAAGGUGAACUAUGCCUGUAUAGGGUGAAGCCAGAGGAAACUCUGGUGGAGGCUCGCAGCGGUUCUGACGUGCAAAUCGAUCGUCAAAUAUGGGCAUGGGGGCGAAAGACUAAUCGAACCUUCUAGUAGCUGGUUUCCGCCGAAGUUUCCCUCAGGAUAGCAGUGUUGAACUCAGUUUUAUGAGGUAAAGCGAAUGAUUAGGGACUCGGGGGCGCUAUAUAGCCUUCAUCCAUUCUCAAACUUUAAAUAUGUAAGAAGCCCUUGUUGCUUAAUUGAACGUGGGCAUUCGAAUGUAUCAACACUAGUGGGCCAUUUUUGGUAAGCAGAACUGGCGAUGCGGGAUGAACCGAACGCGAGGUUAAGGUGCCAGAGUAGACGCUCAUCAGACACCACAAAAGGCGUUAGUACAUCUUGACAGCAGGACGGUGGCCAUGGAAGUCGGAAUCCGCUAAGGACUGUGUAACAACUCACCUGCCGAAUGUACUAGCCCUGAAAAUGGAUGGCGCUCAAGCGUCUCAC
This 586-nucleotide ribosomal RNA is filed under the name Hypocreales sp. A560. RNAcentral describes it as "LSU rRNA". It matches the Rfam family "Eukaryotic large subunit ribosomal RNA", at positions 755 to 1341 of the family's 3401-position model. Lineage: Eukaryota; Fungi; Ascomycota; Sordariomycetes; Hypocreales. The record is from RNAcentral.